RNAcentral lists this ribosomal RNA (658 nucleotides) under Staphylococcus aureus. RNAcentral's name for it is "partial 23S ribosomal RNA". It matches the Rfam family "Bacterial large subunit ribosomal RNA", at positions 1625 to 2282 of the family's 2925-position model. Lineage: Bacteria; Bacillati; Bacillota; Bacilli; Caryophanales; Staphylococcaceae. The record is from RNAcentral.
AGAUAGAAAAUAGGUGCCCGUACCGCAAACCGACACAGGUAGUCAAGAUGAGAAUUCUAAGGUGAGCGAGCGAACUCUCGUUAAGGAACUCGGCAAAAUGACCCCGUAACUUCGGGAGAAGGGGUGCUCUUUAGGGUUAACGCCCAGAAGAGCCGCAGUGAAUAGGCCCAAGCGACUGUUUAUCAAAAACACAGGUCUCUGCUAAACCGUAAGGUGAUGUAUAGGGGCUGACGCCUGCCCGGUGCUGGAAGGUUAAGAGGAGUGGUUAGCUUCUGCGAAGCUACGAAUCGAAGCCCCAGUAAACGGCGGCCGUAACUAUAACGGUCCUAAGGUAGCGAAAUUCCUUGUCGGGUAAGUUCCGACCCGCACGAAAGGCGUAACGAUUUGGGCACUGUCUCAACGAGAGACUCGGUGAAAUCAUAGUACCUGUGAAGAUGCAGGUUACCCGCGACAGGACGGAAAGACCCCGUGGAGCUUUACUGUAGCCUGAUAUUGAAAUUCGGCACAGCUUGUACAGGAUAGGUAGGAGCCUUUGAAACGUGAGCGCUAGCUUACGUGGAGGCGCUGGUGGGAUACUACCCUAGCUGUGUUGGCUUUCUAACCCGCACCACUUAUCGUGGUGGGAGACAGUGUCAGGCGGGCAGUUUGACUGGGGCGG